CCGCCCACCUGCGGCCUUUUACGCUUGGUCUCCGAGGGGCUUUGGCGCUGGCGGCGGGUCCUCCAGCGCAUGCUAGUGUAUUACCACGUGCGCAUAAUAAGGGGCAGGCUCCUGGAAGCCGGAUCCUCCGCCAUCUCGGGCCAAGCCUGGGUUCAAGCCGGUGUUUGAGGUCUCCCGGGUCUGUCGUUCCUCUCGCUGAACAAAGGGAUUUGAAAACCGAGUCAGCUUGUGGGUUGCUUCCUCCCUGUCAAAAAGGUGGCUUGAUAAUUAGCUUUGCCAUUACAAGGCAAGGAGAGAAGACAGUCAUGUCCAUCCCUGUCACUGGACCCCUGUGGUCAGCUGGUGUUGGCAGUUGAAAGGGUGCUCCUGGAAGACUCCGACCUAGAUGAAAAAGUGGCCUGGCUGUUGGGCCAGAAGCCCUCUCUGUCGUUGAGGUUCACUCCCAGUGGCCGGAAAUGCCACCGAGAGAUGCGCGCUGCGUGGGGGUUCUGAACGAUCGGCUUCAGCACCCGGCCCAGGUGGACAGCGACGAGCGCAGCAGCCCGCCUCACCCUCCCUGCGCGGCCACUGCGCGCGCCUCGCCUCUGACCCCUGCCAGCAGCGUGCCCAGCGCCACGUCCAGCGCCAGCACCUCGGCGCUGUCUGGCCACGCGAUCGCCUUGUACAUCUCCCUGUGCCUCCUUGCCCAGGCCUGCCAGGAGCUGUGUGCGCGUGUCCAGAGCUGCAGCUGCUCCCCAAGGCAGGGCUCCCUAUGUGGCCCCCUCUGUUGCCUCUCUCAGGGCUUCUAGGCACGUCCGUGGGGAGGCAGCAAGAACAUGUAAAAACUUCCCCAAGCUGGUGCUGAUAAGUAUACCCCUUCACGUCAUAAAGGGCUCUAGUCCCCGUUGAAGUCUGUCUUGCUUCUGGAGAUUUUCUAAAACCCUGUUUUGUUUUAAAAUGCAUUCAUCCUGUUUUGUAAUUAUAUGUAUUUCUGGUAACUUUUUAUUUCAUGCUGGUCUUCACUCCAAGUUUUUAGCACAGCUUGAAUUUGUGUAACUCAAAUGAAUAUAAAAUGAAAGUGAAAGUUACUCAGUCGCGUCCAAGUCUUUGCUACCCCAUGGACUGUAUAGUCCAUGGAAUUCUCCAGGCCAGAAAACUGGAGUGGCUAGGCUUUCCCUUCUCCAGGGGAUCUUCCCAACCCAGGGAUUGAACCCAGGUCUUCCACACUGCAGGUGGAUUCUUUACCAGCUAAGCCGCAAGGGAAGCCAAAUGAAUAUAACAAAUAUAAUAUUACCUGGUACCUGUGAGGCUUCUUCCAAGUACUUCUCUCACUUCCACCAUCCCACUCUUAACUGAAUAAUUAAUAUAUCCGAAAUCAACUAUUACCAGCUAUUAACUCUGUCUUUAUUUUUAAUCCUAACAAUUUUCUAAGGUAAAUAUUAAGAAUCCCUUCACAUUGUUUUACUUUUAUUGUUUAUUGAUAAAUUAGGAAUGUAUUCAGCCAGGUAAAAUGAUUUGUUCCAGGUCACAGAGCAU
Bos taurus (domestic cattle) is the source of this 1515-nucleotide long non-coding RNA. Lineage: Eukaryota; Metazoa; Chordata; Mammalia; Artiodactyla; Bovidae. The record is from Ensembl.